Molecule: ribosomal RNA, 449 nt
Filed under: uncultured bacterium
Lineage: Bacteria
Description: bacterial SSU rRNA
Rfam family: Bacterial small subunit ribosomal RNA
Source: RNAcentral
GUCGAGAAUCUUUCACAAUGGGGGCAACCCUGAUGGAGCGACGCCGCGUGGAGGAUAAGGUCUUCGGAUUGUAAACUCCUGUCAUGCGUGAACAAGGUUGCUUGGUUAAUACCUGGGCAAAUUGAUGGUAACGCAAGAGGAAGAGACGGCUAACUCUGUGCCAGCAGCCGCGGUAAUACAGAGGUCUCAAGCGUUGUUCGGAAUCACUGGGCGUAAAGGGUGCGUAGGUGGCGUGGUAAGUCAGAUGUGAAAGCCCGGGGCUCAACCUCGGAACUGCAUCCGAUACUGCCAUGCUAGAGUACUGGAGAGGUGACUAGAAUUCUCGGUGUAGCAGUGAAAUGCGUAGAUAUCGAGAGGAAUACCAAAGGCGUAGGCAGGUCACUGGACAGUUACUGACACUGAGGCACGAAGGCCAGGGGAGCGAACGGGAUUAGAUACCCGGGUAGUCC